Molecule: ribosomal RNA, 720 nt
Filed under: Setobaudinia ngurraali
Lineage: Eukaryota; Metazoa; Mollusca; Gastropoda; Stylommatophora; Camaenidae
Description: partial 16S ribosomal RNA
Rfam family: Archaeal large subunit ribosomal RNA (bases 328-486)
Source: RNAcentral
CACGAAACUAUGUGAGCUAAUUUUUUAAAGUUGUCAUGUAACAAAAUGACAAGAUGAUGAAAAAUUAGGGGUGAAAGGCUUUACAAAUAUAGUGAUAUCUUGAUUUCUUUUAAACGUACUAGUACAUUGACAUAUUUAAAGCUAUAAGGUUUUAAAUGAAAAUUAAAUUUGAUUAACAUUUUGUAUGAUAUAAAAUCCCAUACAAUAGAAGAAUAAAUAUAUAUUUCUAAAAAAUUAUUAUUUUUAAAAGAAUGUGUAGUAAUUUUUUGCAAUAUUAAUAAUGUUACCAUAAGUAUUCAAGAGAUGCUAAUAGUGAACUCGGCAAUUAAGUUUUCAACUGUUUAUCAAAAACAUAGCUGUGUGGUAUUACACAUAGUGUUUUCUGCUCAAUGAUCAUUAAAUAGCCGCAGUACCUUGACUGUGCAAAGGUAGCGUAAUCAUUUGUCUUUUAAUUGGAGUCAUGUAUGAAUGAAUAUAUGGAGACUUUCUUUACCAUUGGCAACAUAAUAAAUUACUUAGUGGGUGAAAAAUCCCACAAUUAAAUAAUAGACGAGAAGACCCUAGAAAUUUAUAAUAACUUUUUGUUGGGGCAACAUAGUAACAAGUAACUUACUAUAUGUAUAUGAAACUAAGUAGAUAACUAAAAUUACUCUAGGGAUAACAGCAUAAUAUUUAAAUGUUUGUGACCUCGAUGUUGGAUUAGGGAGUUAUAGUUUAGAA